GGUAAGGGGUUCUGAGAUAUCCCCUGCUUUAAUCUGGUAUGGUUAGCUAAAUAAGCAUGACGUCUACUUAAUAAUCCAGAGUCUUUAUGUGCUACUAUCUUGAGAGCUAAAUAUUUUCUGGACGGCGAUUUAAUGAGUGCAAAUCUAAAAAAGGACUCCUCUUUUACUUGGCAAAGUAUCAUGGCGGGAGUGAACUGUCUGUAA
RNAcentral lists this ribosomal RNA (204 nucleotides) under Triticum aestivum (bread wheat). RNAcentral describes it as "partial small subunit ribosomal RNA". Lineage: Eukaryota; Viridiplantae; Streptophyta; Magnoliopsida; Poales; Poaceae. The record is from RNAcentral.